This 676-nucleotide ribosomal RNA is filed under the name uncultured bacterium. Its description in RNAcentral is "bacterial SSU rRNA". It matches the Rfam family "Bacterial small subunit ribosomal RNA", at positions 31 to 697 of the family's 1533-position model. The record is from RNAcentral.
AAACGCUGGCGGCGUGUCUUAAGCAUGCAAGUCGAGCGGCAGGCGCAGCAAUGCGCUGAGAGCGGCGGACUGGUGAGUAACGCGUGGGUAAUCUACCUUUGGCAUGGGGAUAGCCAUUAGAAAUAGUGGGUAAUACCGAAUACGUUCCCUGGGGGGAGGUUUCAGGGAAGAAAGGGUGCUACGGCACCGGCCAAAGAUGAGCUCGCGUCCCAUUAGCUAGUUGGUGAGGUAACGGCCCACCAAGGCGAUGAUGGGUAGCCGGCCUGAGAGGGUGUACGGCCACACUGGGACUGAGAUACGGCCCAGACUCCUACGGGAGGCAGCAGCUAAGAAUAUUCCGCAAUGGACGAAAGUCUGACGGAGCGACGCCGCGUGGAUGAUGAAGGCCGAAAGGUUGUAAAGUCCUUUUGCUGGGGAAGAAUAAGUGUGGGAGGGAAUGCCCGCAUGAUGACAUGAACCGGCGAAUAAGCCCCGGCCAACUACGUGCCAGCAGCCGCGGUAACACGUAGGGGGCGAGCGUUGUUCGGAAUUACUGGGCGUAAAGGGCAUGUAGGCGGUCUGGUAAGCCUGGCGUGAAAGGCCACAGCUCAACUGUGGGAUUGCGUUGGGAACUGCUGGGCUUGAGUUAUGGAGAGGGAGCUAGAAUUCCUGGUGUAGGGGUGAAGUCUGUAGAUAU